This 916-nucleotide ribosomal RNA is filed under the name uncultured archaeon. RNAcentral's name for it is "bacterial SSU rRNA". It matches the Rfam family "Archaeal small subunit ribosomal RNA", at positions 1 to 922 of the family's 1478-position model. The record is from RNAcentral.
UUUCCGGUUGAUCCUGCCGCCGGCCACCGCUAUCAAGUUCCGACUAAGCCAUGCGAGUCAAGGUAUCGUAAGAUGCCGGCAAACUGCUCAGUAACACGUGGAUAAUCUAACCUUGAGUAAGGGAUAACCUCGGGAAACUGAGGAUAAUACCUUAUAAUUGCUUAAAACUGGAAUGUUUAAGCAAUAAAAGUUCCGACGCUCAAGGAUGAGUCUGCGACCUAUCAGGUAGUAGGUGGUGUAAUGGACCACCUAGCCUCAGACGGGUACGGGCCCUGGGAGGGGUAGCCCGGAGAUGGACUCUGAGACAUAAGUCCAGGCCCUACGGGGCGCAGCAGGCGCGAACACUGUGCAAUGCGCGAAAGCGCGACACGGGGAGCUUGAGUGUCUUGGCAUAGCCAAGACUUUUCUCAUUCCUAAAAAGCAUGAGGAAUAAGUGCUGGGUAAGACGGGUGCCAGCCGCCGCGGUAACACCCGCAGCACAAGUGGUGGUCACUUUUAUUGAGCCUAAAGCGUUCGUAGCCGGUUUUGUAAAUCUUUAGAUAAAGCCUGAAGCUUAACUCCAGAAAGUCUGAAGAGACUGCAAGACUUGAGAUCGGGUGAGGUUAAACGUACUUUCAGGGUAGGGGUAAAAUCCUGUAAUCCCGGAAGGACGACCAGUGGCGAAAGCGUUUAACUAGAACGAAUCUGACGGUAAGGAACGAAGGCUAGGGUAGCAAACCGGAUUAGAUACCCGGGUAGUCCUAGCUGUAAGCACUGCCCAUUUGAUGUUGCUUUUCCGUUGAGGGAGGGCAGUGUCGGAGCGAAGGUGUUAAAUGGGCCGCUUGGGAAGUAUGGUCGCAAGACUGAAACUUAAAGGAAUUGGCGGGGGAGCACCGCAACGGGAGGAAUGUGCGGUUUAAUUGGAUUCAACGCCGGA